Molecule: long non-coding RNA, 280 nt
Filed under: Mytilus galloprovincialis (Mediterranean mussel)
Lineage: Eukaryota; Metazoa; Mollusca; Bivalvia; Mytilida; Mytilidae
Source: RNAcentral
GUGUCCCAAGUACACGGAUGCCCCACUCGCACUAUCAUUUUCUAUGUUCAGUGGACCGUGAAAUAAGGGUCAAAACUUUAAUUUGGAAUUAAAAUUAGAAAGAUCAUAUCAUAGGGAACAUGUGUACUAAGUUUCAAGUUGAUUAGACUUCAACUUCUUCAAAUACUACCUUGACCAAAAACUUUAACCUGAAGCGAACGGACGCACAGACGGACGGACGAACGGAGGCACAGACCAGAAAACAUAAUUCCCCUCUACUAUCGUAGGUGGAACAUAAAAA